ACUCCUACGGGAGGCAGCAGUAGGGAAUAUUGGGCAAUGGAGGCAACUCUGACCCAGCCAUGCCGCGUGCAGGAAGACGGUCCUCUGGAUUGUAAACUGCUUUUGAAUGGGAAGAACUAUACUCUUGCGAGAGUAUUUGACGGUACUAUUAGAAUAAGCACCGGCUAACUCCGUGCCAGCAGCCGCGGUAAUACGGAGGGUGCAAGCGUUAUCCGGAUUUAUUGGGUUUAAAGGGUGCGUAGGCGGCUUUAUAAGUCGGGGGUUAAAGGCAGCCGCUUAACGGUGUGUAUGCCUUCGAUACUGUAGAGCUUGAGUGACCUGGAGGUAGCUGGAAUUCCCUGUGUAGCGGUGAAAUGCAUAGAUACGGGGAGGAAUACCGAUUGCGAAGGCAUGUUACUACGGGUAAACUGACGCUGAUGCACGAAAGCGUGGGGAUCAAACAGGAUUAGAUACCCUGGUAGUCCACGCCGUAAACGAUGAUUACUAGUUGUUGGGCGAUAGUUCAGUGACCAAGGGAAACCGAUAAGU
This 528-nucleotide ribosomal RNA is filed under the name bacterium btn 18f-3. Its description in RNAcentral is "bacterial SSU rRNA". It matches the Rfam family "Bacterial small subunit ribosomal RNA", at positions 335 to 865 of the family's 1533-position model. The record is from RNAcentral.